Long non-coding RNA from Anas platyrhynchos (mallard), 476 nucleotides. RefSeq lists it as uncharacterized. The record is from RefSeq and is a predicted model, not a curated record. Lineage: Eukaryota; Metazoa; Chordata; Aves; Anseriformes; Anatidae.
UACAUUACUCUUGGCCAGGCUCCUACCCCAGCCAUGCUGCACCCUUGAUGCUCUCACUCAGCUCAGGGCACCUCCUCUUUUCUCUCCCUGUUCAUGCACAGGUGCAGGAGUCACAGCUUUUUAAGAGGAGGGAAGCAGUUCUUACUGGCUUUCUGCCCCAGCCUGGCCUGUUUCUGUCCUCUCCACUGCUGUCCCUGGGGCAGUGCAUCUCAGAAAUCCGGAACUACGUGCUUGAAUUCUUUACUGGGAAGUGAACUUGCAGACAGCUGCGAGAAGGCUAGGUAGCCAUCUAACCACAUAUAUGGGAAAUGGAGGAUUAAAGGAUACAGCUCUAGUAGCAAAUGCACAGAACUAUCAUGACUAUUUCUAUUUGUGAACAUGGUUACCUGCAAAUACAUUGUGAAAUGCAUACUCAAAGCACUGAAACAAAUGCCUUAUGCCAUCACAAGGCUCUGUUUAGUUACAAAACCUCUGUC